GACGAACGCUGGCGGCUCGCCUAACACAUGCAAGUCGAACGAGCGAGAGAGAGCUUGCUUUCUUGAGCGAGUGGCGAACGGGUGAGUAACGCGUGAGGAACCUGCCUCAAAGAGGGGGACAACAGUUGGAAACGACUGCUAAUACCGCAUAAGCCCACGACCCGGCAUCGGGUUGAGGGAAAAGGAGCAAUCCGCUUUGAGAUGGCCUCGCGUCCGAUUAGCUGGUUGGUGAGGUAACGGCCCACCAAGGCGACGAUCGGUAGCCGGACUGAGAGGUUGAACGGCCACAUUGGGACUGAGACACGGCCCAGACUCCUACGGGAGGCAGCAGUGGGGAAUAUUGCACAAUGGGGGAAACCCUGAUGCAGCGACGCCGCGUGGAGGAAGAAGGUCUUCGGAUUGUAAACUCCUGUUGUUGAGGAAGAUAAUGACGGUACUCAACAAGGAAGUGACGGCUAACUACGUGCCAGCAGCCGCGGUAAAACGUAGGUCACAAGCGUUGUCCGGAAUUACUGGGUGUAAAGGGAGCGCAGGCGGGAAGACAAGUUGGAAGUGAAAUCUAUGGGCUCAACCCAUAAACUGCUUUCAAAACUGUUUUUCUUGAGUAGUGCAGAGGUAGGCGGAAUUCCCGGUGUAGCGGUGGAAUGCGUAGAUAUCGGGAGGAACACCAGUGGCGAAGGCGGCCUACUGGGCACCAACUGACGCUGAGGCUCGAAAGUGUGNGUAGCANACAGG
RNAcentral lists this ribosomal RNA (735 nucleotides) under uncultured bacterium. Its description in RNAcentral is "bacterial SSU rRNA". It matches the Rfam family "Bacterial small subunit ribosomal RNA", at positions 28 to 776 of the family's 1533-position model. The record is from RNAcentral.